Mus musculus (house mouse) is the source of this 9058-nucleotide long non-coding RNA. RefSeq annotates it as predicted gene, 48727. The transcript has 3 exons. Lineage: Eukaryota; Metazoa; Chordata; Mammalia; Rodentia; Muridae. The record is from RefSeq and is a predicted model, not a curated record.
AAACAACCUUUGAGCGACUCCCUUCAUGUUCGGUGACUUGAAAGUCCAAGAGAUCAGUCAGCCCAGUGCUGGUGCUGCUAAGACUCUGGUGGGUCCCCAAGACUUCCAGGAACCAAAGGGAGAUAUGGAAGCUACAUCUGACUGCUUUCCAAACCUAGAUACAACCCAAGCUCCUGGAGUAAACAUCCAACUCCGACAAGUCAUUGGGACCAGUAAUGGACGUUUGAGGUAGAAGGAACAUUUGGACUUUGUGUGAUUCUGGUUUGAAAACCCCAGUGCUCCAAGAUGUGAGUGAACAGAAGGAGUAUUGUGUCCCCAGAGCUGAGAGGGGCGCACCCACUGGGCCAGAGAACGGGGAUCCAGAAAUCAUACGAUGGCCAGGAUGCUGCUGGCAGGUUGCAUUGAGUUUUGAGAUUUUUGCCAGGACAAAACACUGAUUUAACAAGGAGAGGAUCCUAGAUAUCCACAGUUGGUCUCCAGGUCACUAUGUAGCUGAGUCUCCAGCUCCAGAAAGAACAAAGAACGUGGCCUCGCACAAUGCAGCCUGCGUUGGGGAUCAACAGAGUACACACUAAUCUGCAGACUCCCGGGGAUCCCUUGGGACGGCUCACUUCACUUACACUCUGGAAAGGAGAAGAGCAAGCUGUCAAGACCAUCUCAAAUCCAUCGCUCAGGAAGUGCAAAUGGAUUGAGGGUGUUUCAUUGACUGCCGAUUUCCUGGGGGUGGGGGAUAUGUAUGCAAAGAGCAGGCAUAAGGAAAAGUGCAAUAUCUGCCAAGCUCUGCUGCAGGGGAACCGUGGCUCUGAGAACAUCUGCAGGGCUGGUCCCUGCACUGCUGGCCCCCUGGAGGGUUUGGUUCAUCUGCAUCAGCAGGUCCCUCUGUGGCCAAUUUAUUCUGGACCAUCUGGGUGGACUGAGGUUCUCUGUAGAUGAUGGUGGGUCAGAUUUACUUCUCAUUGCUGCUUUUAAAGACUUGGUACGGAAUCUAUCAACGAUGUAAUUGGCAUAUCACUUGUUCAUGUUGCUGGGCUCCAGGGCUCAUUUACUGGGACAGCAGAGCUGUCAGGAGUCAGUUUUGCUUUUGACCACAUUUUAGGUGACCGAGUUCCCGUGGGACUUGAUACCUGAGCAGUGUGUCCUCCACACCACUCCCAGGGGGCAGAGCCUCUCCCAGUGGUGACUUUUAUAGGGGAAGAGCCCCAAGGUCAGUAUAUAACACCUGUAAGUGCCUCAAGGCCCAGUGCUGCUAGUAUCUGUAUUAAUAUUCGUAUCCCCACAUUUCUGUGGAAGGCUCCACUAGCUCAUAUCCUAGAAAGAAGUGGUGUGGGGUUCUGCAAAGGGACCCCCCAAAGUAGCUCUGUCAGUCUCUGCUUGUGGUAGAUGGCAGAUGAGCCCAGAAUUUGGGGGAGACAGUGGUUUAAAAAUCUUUUUAAAAAUUGAACUGGCUAGGAAUUAAAAAUGGAUGGAUUAGUUACAUAGCUCCCAUAGUUCCCUGAGGCAAGCAAUAAGACUCCAGACUCAACUGUCUUCCAGCUGUGUGAGUGAAAAGAGGAUUCCAGAAGCCAGCUCUGCCCACCUUCUAAUCUCCAGUCCCACCAGAAGGCACUCCACUAAGUACAUCCCCACAGUUAGUUCUCUCCUGUUCCAAGCCAGUGUUUUUUAUGCUUCCUGACUGAUUUGUGUAACUGGUGUUAAAAAUACUAGCUGCUCUGUUUUCAGAAACAAUUUAACAUAACCAAACUCUCUUAGACAUUAGAUCAGUUUUUUUUUUUUGUUUUUUUGUUUUUUUUUUUUUUUUUUUUUGGCUCUAAACAUCUCUUCUUCAAGUUGAAAUUCCCAACUUUUGUUUUGUUUUGUUUUACCUUGCCCCCAGAGUCCCCUGAGAAACUAGCAACAACACGAAUCACAAUGACACAAAGCACCUGGUGGGCAAGGCUGUGCUGUUAUUCCCAGCCCUAGGAUUUGCUGGGUUGGUCCUCAAUGAAUUGGCGGAUACUUAGUGGAUAAAUUCUAUCUCGUUCCUUUGUUCUCAGCUCAUUAUUUUUCCUCUUUAUUUAGCAUUCUUGGAGAAUGUGCAGCCUACCUAACUGGACUGAACCAAUGGUUCUCACAAUGUGGCUACAUCAAUCGAGACUGGGGAGAUUCUACAUAGCACUUCCAGUACUUAGAUAAGUUUGAACUGUCAUGAUCCUCAUGGAAACACCUACGUAGGCAGGCAGGAGAAGAGGGCUGACUGCCCUUCACAUAAAAGCCACCUGCAGGCAGAUACCUACUUGUUUCCAUACAUGACAGUCUUGAGUACUUAUUAAAGAGUAUUUUCUUUCACUUUAAAAAAAAUAUUUAUUUGUUUAUUUUAUGUAAAUACACUGUCUUCAGACACACUAGAAGAAGGCACUGGAUCCCAUUGCAGACAGUUGUGAGCCACCAUCUGGUUGCUGGGAAUUGAACUCAGGACCUUUGGAAGAACAGUCAGUGUUCAUAACUGCUGAGCCAUCUCUCCAGCCCCUAAUUACUAUUUUCAACACUCCAUUUAGUCCCUUACCAAUCCCAUGAGGCAGAACCAUAUCACAGAUCUAAACACCGAGGCUAGAGAGGCUGAAAGAAGGCAGUUCUGCUGUAUGCUCUCCGCCCCUCACCCCUGUCCCACCCCCUACUCUCCUGCCUCCUCUUUGCAUUAAUCUUUCACCCUUUUAAAGGCUACUUUAAACUGAUUUUGCUUGAAGCGAGUAUGGGCAAGCUAUUAAUCUCUGUUUUUCAACCAUGUCCUAGUCAGUCAGUGAUGACACAUCCCUGUGGAAAUGAGGGUGAUAAUUUCGUUGACCAAUCUUUGGUCCCUCAUUUCCCUGCAUAUAAAUCUACUGAUAUUAUGGACUUUGAAGAAAAAAAAAGUCUUAUCAGUAGCUGAUCGAUUUGUAUGCAGCAAGAAGUGAAAAGCCAGAGUGUGCAUGUGUAUGGUGUUUAGUAAUGUCAGCGACUAAAACUCAAGACGUUACAUUAAUCUGCCAGAGACUUAUUGAUGUACAUGAUGAUUAUGUUGCACGGCACUUAGGCAUCAGUGAGAAGCGUCCUACAGAAAUGAGUGUCACUGGUGUGAAUUUACAUAGGUUUCCUUUGAUAAUGUUGUUAUCCAACAUUAUCCAGCUAUUCAUAUCGGUUUAAACCAAAGGGAGAUUAUUGGCCCUCACAAUGGAAAUAUCUGGGGUGAAUUCAGUCACUGAUUCUCUCUGUACCCCAAUGCAGGACCUCAUACAGCUCAGACUGGCCCCCGACUCCUUAUAUCGUCAAGAAUGACCUUGAACUUCGCAUCUUCCUGCCUCUACCUGCCAAAUGCUUGGAAUAUGGGUGUGCACCACCGUUCACAGACUGAAAUGUCUUUGGUCAAAGCAACUCAAUUCUAGAUGCAGAGAAAGGGGCAGUUGGGUGCAAGUGUUAGAAAGAAAAGGCAAAGGUGAGACGAAGUGUAGCCAGAGUAUAAUUCAAAUGUCAUAUGAUGUUGAUUUUAAUAAGGAAGGAGAAAAAGGAGGCAGGGUUAAGUGUGACGAUGUCAGAUCCACAGCACAGAAGAUGAUUGGUUCAUAACAAAUUGCUGAGUAUUUUAGAGAAGGUAGCAGAGAGGAUCUUUCAUGUUUCCUAUACAAGAAAAGGAUACAUAGUUGAAGUUAUGAGCAUCUAAUACCUGGAUAUUACACGUUGCAGCUGUAUAGUGAAAUGUUACACUCUAAUCCACUGAUACCUACAACUAUGAUGUGUCUAAAUAUCAAAAAUACAGAUAGGUUUUUUGAAGGAGGCAGGAAGGAAAAUGACACACAAAAGUAACAGAAAGAAGAAUUCUGAAGACUGAAGGCAGAAACAAACUCUCCUGGUUUCCCAACUUUGCUGAUAUUAGCUCAGUAGCCUGAACAAGGAGAAUGGCCCCAGACUCAUCUUAGCGGAAAUUCUGUUGUACUGGUUCUCUCAAGGCUUUUUAGUUUAUUGAAUGGAAACUCAGGCUUAUAAACUCAGUGAUAGCUCUUCUCUGAGGAUCCUCAGGAGCCUGAACAAUCACUGCUGAAUGGUAUCAUUAUUCCAACUAACGAGAAGUACAGGUAAAAGACCACAGGAGAAGCCUGGCUCUCAGCUAGACAAGGCUCCUCCUAAGGUGUCUUAAGGAAAUCAGACUUGAAUUGCUGUGCUGUUGUAAUCUGCGAUUUUGCAAAGCAGACUUCAGAGUAUCUUGAAUUUGAAUCAAGGAGAGAGAGAAAGAGAGAGAGAGAGAGAGAGAGAGAGAGAGAGAGAGAGAGAGAGAGAGUUAGCUGUGGCUGGUAAGUCACAGAAGUAAGGGUAUCUCCCACAUUGGAGAUGUUGCUCCCCUCGGAGUAACAUUAUCAGUAUUGAUUAUUAGAGUUUGAAAGCUUUUUUAUUUUUGAGAGGCUCGUCCUCAGGGCUACCUGCUCUGAGAUGUGACCACAUGGGUCAGACCCCUUAAGGUAUUCUAAAGACUUCCCACUGAGUCUGCAAUACUAGGACCAAAAAGUGACAAUAUAAUUUAAAAUGUUUUAAUUAAUUAAUUGACUGAUUAAUUAAUUACAGUACUAGGAAUCAAACCCAGGGCCCCUCAUAUGCUGGCAAGUGAUUUACCACUGAGUCACAGGAUGGCUCCUUGGUUUUUUGUUCUUUUUUUUUUGUGAUAUUCACUCCUCAGUAGGAGAAAGAGUUGAAGACAUGUGUCAAACAGUGUUCUAAAAAUAGCAAUAAAGAGAAGCAGCACCAGGAAAUUGUCCUAAUCACCCUGUUUCCUAUAGAAAAACUGCGGUGUUAUUGUCAUGUCUGCACUGUGUAGCUGAGCAGUUAUGAACAGUGAUGACAGGAAGUGCUAGGAAUGGCGUGAGGUGGACCAGCCGAGGAUAAAGCGGGGGGAGGGGGAGAGAGCACAAAGAACGAAGUCCCUCUUAUGUCUUUCAUUAAAAAAAAUGAUUUAUUUAUUUACUUAUUUUAUGUAUGUAUGAGUACACUGUCACUGUCUUCAGACACACCAGAAGAGAGCAGCAGAUCCCAUUACUGAUGGCUGUGAGCCACCAUGUGGUUGCUGGGAAUUUAACUCAGGACCUCUGGGAGAGCAGUCAGUGCUCUUAACCACUGAGCCAUCUCCAGCCCUCCAGUUCUUUUCUUUUCUUUUCUUUUCUUUUCUUUUCUUUUCUUUUCUUUUCUUUUCUUUUCUUUUCUUUCUCUUCUCUUCUCUUCUCUUCUCUUCUCUUCUCUUCUCUUCUCUUCUUUUCUUUCUCUCCUCUCCUCUCCUCUCCUCUCCUCUCCUCUCCUCUCCUCUCCUCUCCUUUUCUUUUCUUUUCUUUUUUAAAUCUUUUAAUUUAUAUUUUUGAAAAAUUUACACAAUAUAUUUUGAUUAGUCAUCCUCUUCCCCCAGUUCAUUCCAGAUCAUGCCCCACCUCCUGACACUCAGCCACUGUUCCCCUCUCUUUAAAAACAAAGAAAAACAAACAGUGCUUCCCCUCCACUCAAAAACCAAAACACCUUGGAGUCCAGUUUGUGUUAGUCAACUACUCCUAGGCCUGGAGCCUGCCCUGGAGUGUGGUAGAUAUACCAGUGGUAGCUUCACUGAAGAAAACAAACCUUUCUGCUCACUGCAGCAAUCUAAUGCCAACAGCUCCUUCACUAGGGAUGGGACUCGGUGCCCACUUGUGUCCCACUCUGGCUUUAGGUUGGGCAGGUCCAUGGCUAUCACAGUCUCUGUGCAUCUAUCUGUCUUACUGUGUUGGAAAAUACUUUUUUCCUUGCGGUCCUCCCCUACCACCUCUGACAUUUACAAUUUUCCCACUUCCUCUUUCACAUAGAUAGAUUCCCUGAGCCUUGAGGGCAGGGCUGCGAUAUAGACAUCCCAUUUAGGACUGAGUGCUGCAAAGGCUUUUUUCUGUCUCUGCACAUUGUUCCUGUGUGGGUGUUGUUUAGUUAUUGUCUGUAAGAAGAAGUUUCUCUAACAGGCUGAGCAUUGGUCUAUGGGUAUAACAAUGUAUCUUUAGGAGUGAUUUUUAUUUCCAUGUCUGUUUGACAGAGUCAUAGUAAUAAGUCUCUGUCCCUAGGGUCCCUGGCCUAUACAGCUCAGGUUCUUGGCCUCAACAGUGUUGGGGAUGGCUUCUGUCUUAUGGAGAAGGACUUGCAUUCAAUAGAAUGUGGCUGUUUAUAUUCCCAUAAUAGUCAAGGUACAAUGUAUCAGAAAUCCUAGUGCUUAACUUUGAGGUAUCAUGUACAAUGGAACCAAAGAUUAACAUCUAAACGGUGUUGGCUGUGCUCUCAGAUAAAAAUAGUCAUCAUGGCUUCAUGAACACGUAAGACUCUUCACUGCAGUCAUGGCUUGUUCUUGUGUUUAACAUGUGAAUGCUGCCAGGACAGAUCUGAAAUCACCAUCAGGUAAUAUAUUAACAAGCAGCAUCCCAGUGUCGGAACUGAACCAUGGAGUACUUGUAUACAGCUCAUUGCCCUUGGGCCAGUGAGCUAGCUCAGUAGAUGAGGACAUUUGCCAUCAAGGGUAAAGAUCUAAGUUUGAUGUCAGGGAUCCAGAUUUGGGGCAGGGGGUGGGGGGGGGGUGGAGAAAGGAACUGACUCCUAGCAGAUGUCUUCUUAGCUUGACAGGUGUAACUUACAUGUGUGUGUGUACACACACAAUGGAAAGCUCAUUGCUCUUGGCCUUAGUUUCUAUUUUUCACAUGUUUUCCAAAUCCAAGAGCCUUGCUAGUGUCAGCAAUCUAGAGCUAGAUCUCUGAAGCUGACUGGUCUUAUCAAGAAGCUGAUUUUCCCAUGACAAAGGCCACUACUGGUGACCAUGAAGAUCUGAGGCUCCCCAUAGAACCUCCUUCAGACAGAUGCACUUGAGGCCUGGAGACAGACAAGGGAUGAGUCUGCCCUCUUACUACUCUAUCCCAAAGCCAUAGAAAAGGACAGCGAUGACAGAAAAUGAAGUGAGAGGCAGCUCUGGAGACAGUGACGUAAUCUGUAAUCAGGGAGUUUUGGGUCAAUCAAGUCUUCAGCAAGGGACGACCAACUCACAACGUUUGCAUAGGGUGAUUUCACUCUUGCUCCACCUUGAGCCAAUAGUGGUAGGUUCCUUCCAUUUCUCAUCAUGCACUCACAAUGUGCUAGGUGACUUGGGCUAGGAAUGCUCCCUAGAACUUGACACUGCCCAUUGUCUUCUUUUCUCAUUGUCCUUCUUUGGUGUAGUAAAAACCAAAGGUGCGGGUAGGGGGGUGAGGUGGGCAGGGAUGCCCUUAAAUUGUGCUUCCAUGAGACUCAGCAGUUUCUUUUGACUGACUACCUAGCAGUCUAAAGAUCAGAAGGUAAACUCUAUGUGCCCUGUCUUGUUUGGCAACCAUACCUGGCUACAGACGAUUUUGUCAAUGUGCUACGUUCACUGUUAAUCUAACUGCUAGCAAGACCCAUUUUUCUGGCCUUAAAGUAGACCAAAAGUUGAGUGGUGUGUGUGUGUGUGUGUGUGUGUGUGUGUGUGUGUGUGUCUGUGUGUGUGUAUGUGAUGUGCAUUCGGGUACACUUGUUCAGGAAUGCACAUUCCAUGUAUGUCUGUAUAUUGGCUUGAAGACUGAAAUCCAGUUUACUGAGAAGUAGAAACCUGCAGAAUUAAAAUAUUCUUGAACUCCAGAGAAAAAUGACCAUGGGUAUAUAGCAGACAAGUAUGAAUAUAGUGGUUCUGGGGGUCAGAGGUCAAAUGACUUGCCACACAAGCCUGAUGACAUGAGUUCAAUCCCUGGAGCCUACCUAAAAAACUGCAUGUGGUAUCUCCCAGCACAACAUUCCUGUGCCAAGAUGAAAGGGCAGAGCCAGGAGUGUUGGCCAAGAGCUCAUGGGCCAGCUAGCCUGGAGAAGGAUGCACAGCUGUAGAGACUCAGGCUCAAACAAGGUAUAAAUUGAGAACUAAUUUCAAAAAGGUAUCCUUUGUCCUUCAUACACUGGCACCCACAUGCCUGCCCCUGUAUGUGCACACCCACAGAUUUAUGAAGUGAGAAGGUGUUUUUAGCCGAGAGAUGGCCUCCUGUUUUGUGUAAAGAUGAAUAUUCGGCCGGAGCUUUUCCUUCUACUUCCUUGUAGAUUUCCAAUUAUGUUCAGUUUUAAGUACCUGAUCUUUUAAAGCCCCUGUAUGCUGCUUCUGGUUAAGUCUUCCUUUUGGAACAGUCUAUGUUUCCCGGAUGUGCUAGUGGUAAGGGAGGGAGCAGGGCUCAUGUUAUGGGCAAAUCCCAGGGCCACUCUUCUGCCUACUCUGCCUUCUCUAAGUGAUUGAAAAGCGCACUUGACACACAUUCCUUUUCUAGAGAUCAAGCCAUAAUUAAAUCCAGGAAACCUUGCUGACGGUGGAGCCCGCAGGUGUUAGAUUUGCUAUUUGUUCUUGCAAAAGCCCACAGUUCUGGUUUGUAUGUGGCUGCCACUGGCAGGGCCAGUUAAGGUGACUCUGAAAUGUUUGUUCUGCCUGCCGUUCAUUUUGUUUGGUGAAAAUGAAAGCCUGCCAGCAGAGUGGAGCUGCUUGGAAUACAGAUGUAGGCAUUUUCUUACAAAACUCAAGAAGACUAAAGGUUAGUUCCCUACUGGGCCAACAAAUAAGAAACCAUCACUGAGCAGUUAAGAAUAGGUAAAUACAAACGGCUCUUGCAAGGGGGAGAUGUCUGGUGGAAUGCCUGUGUGGAACGCAGGCUUAACAGCUUCAUCAAAGAGAAUGUGUUAAAUGCUCAUUAACUAAAUGUACAAAUGAUUCCCAAUUGGGAGGUGUUACAAACAACAGAGGAAACACACACACACACACACACACACACACACACACUAAUUACAUGCAUGUAUGCACACAAAGCAGAAAAUGCAGUAAACGUCGGCUUGGCAAACAGACCUGAGAUUAAAUCGUCAUAAAUAUAGACAGCAGCAACAUAUGCUCCCUCCAGAGUUAAGUUGAGAAUUCUUGAAUGGCAAGAUUCAGGAUUGGCAGGAUGGCUUAGUGGCACUUGUUGAGGUUCGGUCUUUUGCUAUGUAUUGUAAUGUUAAAUACUGACCCCCCCCCCCCCCCAUGACAAGG